UCGGGUCAUGUGGUUGAAGUUUAGGGAACGUAGAUCUUCUUUUCUGGCGUGCUGUAGAAGUGAUGUUUACUGCGGUCAUCCUGAAAGUGUGGUCUGACAGGAAUAUAGGAGCACAUGUUCCUGUCCAGCCUGGGGGCAGUAUGAAAUAUGCCCGUUGUCCACAUAGCUAGGCCAUUCCUUGCACCCAGUACGUGCCGUUAGAAGGUCCACUCAUAUUCACAGGGGCGCCCUCUCCGUGGACUGCAGUUUGGACGCAGUUUGUCGUGUUUCCAACGGGUGUGUUACCUUUCUCUUGUUGAUAACACAUGGAGUGGUUCUUCCCUGGGAGUUGGUCCAGAAACACUGGGAAGUGGAUGGAUGUAUUCCGGUUUGUCACGUUGAAAUCGAUCCAGAAGAGUUGAUCACAUGUUCCAUUACUAAGUCCAACAGCAUGUGGGAUUGUGUCGCUGGUGAUGAUUCAGCUGUGUUGGAAUCCAAUGCCAGCGAAGCUGGCUGCACACUUUGCUUGAGUGUUGUUCAUAUAUUCACCAUAUAGUGUGGGGUGUGUUGAUGUGCUGGGCAUAUGAGAACAGACAUAACAGUCUGUAUUUGCCGAUUCCGCCUUGGUCCUGUUGUGGAUAUAACGGUACCAGGCAUUGUUCAUCCAAGGGUGGAUGUGGUCUUGCAUCAUAUCUCUUAGGUGCGAGUUGUCGUGCGUCCAUCUUUUCUGUCUGCCUCGGUUCAGCUGUUGUUGGUGUCAGCUGGGGUCCUGUAAGGGUGAGCGUCGUAGUCAAGGUAACCAAGAGGGUCCACCUUCCCAUGGUUGUACACACCUGCACCUGGCUGCCCUAAAGUUGAUCGGAUGGAGAUUGGAGUGCGGGCUUACCCUACGGGGGCCCAAUCAGCACUGCCCCCCCUCACCCCCGAAGCAACCAAGCGCGAGUGAGACUUUCCUUUACUAGCUGAUUUCUGUGGAAGAAGUGGAAUCCUCGGGGACCUCAACUUUUUUGCAGUGGCUCUGAUGUAUCCAGGAGGGUCUCUCCGCUAUUUUGCAGGCAC
Oreochromis aureus is the source of this 1038-nucleotide long non-coding RNA. The record is from Ensembl. NCBI's taxonomy places the organism in Eukaryota, Metazoa, Chordata, Actinopteri, Cichliformes, Cichlidae.